This 70-nucleotide transfer RNA is filed under the name Cetopsis coecutiens. RNAcentral describes it as "tRNA-Met". It matches the Rfam family "tRNA". Rfam says of the family: Transfer RNA (tRNA) molecules are approximately 80 nucleotides in length. Their secondary structure includes four short double-helical elements and three loops (D, anti-codon, and T loops). The record is from RNAcentral. RNAcentral also lists the same sequence under 1 other name. Lineage: Eukaryota; Metazoa; Chordata; Actinopteri; Siluriformes; Cetopsidae.
AGUAAGAUCAGCUAAAUUAAGCUUUUGGGCCCAUACCCCAAAAAUGUAGGUUAAAAUCCUUCUCUUACUA